Molecule: small nucleolar RNA, 120 nt
Filed under: Echinops telfairi (small Madagascar hedgehog)
Lineage: Eukaryota; Metazoa; Chordata; Mammalia; Afrosoricida; Tenrecidae
Description: Small nucleolar RNA SNORA61 (ENSETEG00000026470.1)
Source: RNAcentral
CCCUUUCAGAUUGCUUACCCCUCAGAUCUAAAUACCGGUCUGAGGGGCUAAAAAGGAAGAAAGGUAAAACUGAAGUGAACAUGCAGUCCUCAGUGACAUACAAGUUCAUUGCAAAAACAU